RNAcentral lists this ribosomal RNA (253 nucleotides) under uncultured bacterium. Its description in RNAcentral is "partial 16S ribosomal RNA". It matches the Rfam family "Bacterial small subunit ribosomal RNA", at positions 524 to 776 of the family's 1533-position model. The record is from RNAcentral.
UACGAAGGGGGCGAGCGUUGUUCGGAAUUACUGGGCGUAAAGGGCGCGCAGGCGGCCUUAGAAGUCAGAUGUGAAAGCCCCGGGCUCAACCUGGGAAUGGCAUUUGAUACUCUGAGGCUGGAGUACGGGAGAGGAGAGUGGAAUUCCCAGUGUAGAGGUGAAAUUCGUAGAUAUUGGGAAGAACACCGGUGGCGAAGGCGGCUCUCUGGACCGUAACUGACGCUGGGGCGCGAAAGCGUGGGGAGCAAACAGG